GUUUGGUCCUGACUUUAGUGUCAGCUUUGGUUAAAUUUAUACAUGCAAGUAUCCGCACCCCUGUGAGAAUGCCCUACAUCUUUUCCCACACGAAAAAAAGGAGCAGGUAUUAGGCACGCCUCUAUGUGCAGCCCAAAACGCCUUGCUUAGCCACACCCUCAAGGGAAUUCAGCAGUAAUAGACAUUAAGCUAUGAGUGAAAACUUGACUUAGUUAAAACCAAGAGGGCCGGUAAAACUCGUGCCAGCCACCGCGGUUAUACGAGAGGCCCAAGUUGACAAACCCCGGCGUAAAAUGUGGUUAUUAUAGUAUUGCACUAAAGCCAAACAUCUUCAAAGCUGUUAUACGCUUCUGAGGACAGGAAGCCCUACCGCGAAAGUGGCUUUAAGUUAUAUGUACCACGAAAGCUAGGAAACAAACUGGGAUUAGAUACCCCACUAUGCCUAGCCAUAAACACAGGUGAAUACAUCACACCUAUCACUUGCCCGGAAACUACGAGCCCCAGCUUAAAACCCAAAGGACUUGGCGGUGCUUUAGACCCACCUAGAGGAGCCUGUUCUAGAACCGAUAAUCCCCGUUAAACCUCACCCUCUCUUGUUUUUCCCGCCUAUAUACCGCCGUCGUCAGCUCACCCUAUGAAGGGUGCAAAGUGAGCAGAAUUGGCACCACCCAAAACGCCAGGUCGAGGUGUAGCGUAUGAGAGGGGAAGAAAUGGGCUACAUUCACUGAACCAGUGAACCACGGAGGACGGAUUGAAACAACCAUCUGAAGGAGGAUUUAGCAGUAAGGCGGACAAAUAGAAUGUUCCCCUGAAACUGGCCCUGAAGCGCGCACACACCGCCCGUCACUCUCCCCAAGCGACAGAAAGAUAGUAAAUAAACACAGCAUACCACAAAGGGGAGGCAAGUCGUAACAUGGUAAGUGUACCGGAAGGUGCACUUGGAAAAAUC
RNAcentral lists this non-coding RNA (949 nucleotides) under Ctenogobius boleosoma. RNAcentral describes it as "partial small subunit ribosomal RNA". It matches the Rfam family "Bacterial small subunit ribosomal RNA". The record is from RNAcentral. Lineage: Eukaryota; Metazoa; Chordata; Actinopteri; Gobiiformes; Gobiidae.